RNAcentral lists this ribosomal RNA (497 nucleotides) under uncultured Actinomycetes bacterium. Its description in RNAcentral is "bacterial SSU rRNA". It matches the Rfam family "Bacterial small subunit ribosomal RNA", at positions 8 to 522 of the family's 1533-position model. Lineage: Bacteria; Bacillati; Actinomycetota; Actinomycetes. The record is from RNAcentral.
AGAGUUUGAUCAUGGCUCAGGACGAACGCUGGCGGCGCGCCUAACACAUGCAAGUCGAGCGAGAACCAGGACUUCGGUCCUGGGGAGAGCGGCGAACGGGUGCGUAACACGUGAGCAACCUGCCCCGAAGACCGGGACAACCGAUGGAAACGUCGGCUAAUACCGGAUGCCCUCACCGGAUCGCAUGGUCUGGUGAGGAAAUGGAUUCCGCUUCGGGAUGGGCUCGCGGUCUAUCAGCUUGUUGGUGGGGUAACGGCCCACCAAGGCGACGACGGAUAGCUGGUCUGAGAGGACGAUCAGCCACACUGGGACUGAGACACGGCCCAGACUCCUACGGGAGGCAGCAGUGGGGAAUCUUGCGCAAUGGGGGAAACCCUGACGCAGCGACGCCGCGUGCGGGAUGAAGGCCUUCGGGUUGUAAACCGCUUUCAGCAGGGACGAAAUUGACGGUACCUGCAGAAGAAGGCCCGGCCAACUACGUGCCAGCAGCCGCGGUA